RNAcentral lists this long non-coding RNA (220 nucleotides) under Manihot esculenta (cassava). RNAcentral's name for it is "long non-coding RNA (MESC_LNC001776)". Lineage: Eukaryota; Viridiplantae; Streptophyta; Magnoliopsida; Malpighiales; Euphorbiaceae. The record is from RNAcentral.
GCAUAUCUACCCAUACUUAAGCAUUAAAACUUCUUUAAACUUACUUAAAACUUUAUGAAACAUAAAGGAAAGCAAGGAUCUACACUUACCUCUUGAAGAUCGAGGGUUGGUGCGAUCCCUAACUUGGAGAUGGGAGGAAACAAACUCCUUGGGUCUCCAAGCUCCCAAAACUUGAUUUAAGCUUUAAAACUUCAAAACCCAAAAGGAAACUCAUAAAAAC